AGUGAACGCUGGCGGUAGGCCUAACACAUGCAAGUCGAACGGCAGCACAGUAAAAGCUUGCUCUUACGGGUGGCGAGUGGCGGACGGGUGAGGAAUACAUCGGAAUCUACUUUUUCGUGGGGGAUAACGUAGGGAAACUUACGCUAAUACCGCAUACGACCUACGAGUGAAAGCAGGGGAUCUUCGGACCUUGCGCGAUUGAAUGAGCCGAUGUCGGAUUAGCUAGUUGGCGGGGUAAAGGCCCACCAAGGCGACGAUCCGUAGCUGGUCUGAGAGGAUGACCAGCCACACUGGAACUGAGACACGGUCCAGACUCCUACGGGAGGCAGCAGUGGGGAAUAUUGGACAAUGGGCGCAAGCCUGAUCCAGCCAUACCGCGUGGGUGAAGAAGGCCUUCGGGUUGUAAAGCCCUUUUGUUGGGAAAGAAAAGCAGCAGGUUAAUACCCCGCUGUUCUGACGGUACCCAAAGAAUAAGCACCGGCUAACUUCGUG
RNAcentral lists this ribosomal RNA (492 nucleotides) under uncultured bacterium. Its description in RNAcentral is "partial 16S ribosomal RNA". It matches the Rfam family "Bacterial small subunit ribosomal RNA", at positions 29 to 507 of the family's 1533-position model. The record is from RNAcentral.